CGUCCGACGAGGAGCAGGCGCUGGAGGACUGGGUGGCUGCUGCUUCUGGCACUUACUGGGGCUGGGGGGGAAAGAGGUCCUAAAAGAGGGUUUAAAAGAGGUUUAAAUGAGGUUUUAAAAGAGGUUUAAAUGAGGUUUUAAAAGAGAUUUUAAGUGAGGAUUUUAUUCCAUAGUGAGGCGCAGGGUGAGACCUUGGGUGGCUGCUGCUUCUGGCACUUACUGUGAGGGGCUGGAGGGGAAAGAAAGGGUGAAAGGGGUUUAAAAGAGGUCCUAAAAGAGGUUUUAAAAGAGGUUUAAAUGAGGUUUAAAAGAGGUUUAAAUGAGGUUUAAAAUGAGGUUUUAGAGGAUUUUAUUCCAUAGUGAGACACAGGAGAUGUAAAACUGGGUGGCUGUUGAUUUUCUCCAUAAAAACAGAGGAAGUUUUCACACUUGAUUGUGGAAGGGCACCCUACAAUAACAUUGGGGUGACUCUAAACACCCCACUUUAUUAUGGAAGAAACAGAUAAAACUGCCUAAUCACCAGCAGCUAAUCCCAUUAACAGAUGAAUUAAUUAAUUAAUGCAGCCCUGUGUCCCCAGGUGGCCUCAGAGACAUGGGCGUUAUUGUGGCCGCCAUCUUGGGUGACCCUACAGUAACUUUGGUUUUCUCUAAAAACUGAGACAGUUUUUCCACUUUAUUAUGGAAGGUGAUCCUGUCUAAUCACUGAAUUGAUUAAUUAAUGCACCCCCGUGUCCCUCCCAGUUAAUUAAUGCACACCUGUGUGUCCCAGGUGGCCUCAGAGACAUGGGUGCUGCC
RNAcentral lists this long non-coding RNA (795 nucleotides) under Zonotrichia albicollis (white-throated sparrow). RNAcentral's name for it is "lncRNA (ENSZALG00000001858.1)". The record is from RNAcentral. Lineage: Eukaryota; Metazoa; Chordata; Aves; Passeriformes; Passerellidae.